AGUGAACGCUGGCGGUAGGCCUAACACAUGCAAGUCGAACGGCAGCACAGUAAGAGCUUGCUCUUACGGGUGGCGAGUGGCGGACGGGUGAGGAAUACAUCGGAAUCUACUUUUUCGUGGGGGAUAACGUAGGGAAACUUACGCUAAUACCGCAUACGACCUACGGGUGGAAGCAGGGGAUCUUCGGACCUUGCGCGAUUGAAUGAGCCGAUGUCGGAUUAGCUAGUUGGCGGGGUAAAGGCCCACCAAGGCGACGAUCCGUAGCUGGUCUGAGAGGAUGAGCAGCCACACUGGAAUUGAGACACGGUCCCGACUCCUCCGGGAGGCGCCAGUGGGGAGUAUUGGACAAUGUGCGCAAGCCUCAUCCAGACAUACCGCGUGGGUGAGGAGGGCCUUCGGGUUUUAAAGCCCUUUUGUUGGGAAAGAAAAGCGGCAGGUUAAAACCCCGCUGUUCUGACGGUACCCAAAGAAUAAGCACCGGCUAACUUCGUG
Molecule: ribosomal RNA, 492 nt
Filed under: uncultured bacterium
Lineage: Bacteria
Description: partial 16S ribosomal RNA
Rfam family: Bacterial small subunit ribosomal RNA
Source: RNAcentral